UAAUCAUUACUCUUUAUGAUUUAAUCUUUAAUUAUUUAUCUUAAAUGUGCCUAAAAAUUUUAACACGUGUUCAUUUUAUAUCCGAAUAAGAGCUAUGAUUUUUUAAAAAUUAUUUUUAAGCAGGUUCAAAUGAUCCUAGUAUUGUUGGUUUGGAGAUGUUCACCCCAUGUGGACAGAGACAGUAUGUUGAGACUAGUGUCACCUCCAAGGAGCAAAGUCUCUGGGGCCCUUUCUCCGGUUCUGCUGUCUGGGACUGCAUUAUCCUGAAUCAGGUCCUCAUAUUUUGCUGUUCCUCCUCCUCAUUUUUUUCUUCCAGUUCCAAAGCAUCCUUUCCAUGACAGGCUAAAGGUCAUUUCUCCUGGAAGCCUUCUGGAUCCCCAACGCAUUGGAUUGAAUGGUCUUAUUCUGUGCUUCCCUUGACGGUACACUGAGUCACAGCAUACACCCCAUGCUUUGUUACAGCGCAUUUAAAUAGUCAAAUAUGCAAAAGAACGGAUCCUGAUGUGAGAGACUUCACAGCACCUUCUAACCACCCAUUCUGGUGCCCAACUUCCAUGAGAAAACUUCUCGGUGAGGUACAGAGUCCAGAAAACUAAGAACACAGGGUUGAACCUGUCACUGCAAACAAAUGCUUUGAAGAAUUGACUCACACCACUGCCUUGCACAGGCCAUGUCGGAGGAUGUGGUUGUGCUGGUGUACCUCGCCUGCCGCCCUGAGCCAUUUUUUCACCCUUCUCUGCCUCGCUCUGUGUCCAGGAAGCUGACCCCUCCGUCUUCCAGCCCCUUCUGCGCUGUUGGCUGGUUUCUAACUUACAUCAGCCAACGGGAAGCACCGGUAGGAGAGUGGCGGGGGUAGGUGGACCUGGCGGGCUGGGAUGUUUCUUGCCUGUCCCUCCCGGAUCUGGAACCUCAGACCUGACAGUGGCACGUUCUUCUGUGACAAUAGCGACCCCUGGAGCAACAGCCCCCUCCUCCACUGGGUUCCGUCCUUUCCUUCUGCCUGUUCAGGCCUAGAUGAGUCUGUAUCCAUUGUUUGUAUCCCUUGGGUGCCUCAACAUCUUAAGGUACCCUUAAUCCUGCCCACCUCCCUCUAAAUUGUCCCUUCACUAAAAGCUCUUCCAUAGAGUAGAAUCUUGGUACCUGAUUGAUAUGUUGGUCAAACUUGGUCCAGCAUUCUAAACCAAGGGCCAGGACUUCCCUGAUGGCACACUGGAUAAGAAUCCGUGGGCCCAUGCAGGGGACACAGGUUCGAUCCCUGGUCACGGAAGAUCCCACUUACCGCAGAGCAGCUAAGCUCAAGUGCCACAAUUACUGAGCCCGAGCUCUAGAGCCCUUGAGCGGCAACUACUGAGGCCCUCAUGCUGCAACUACUGAAGCCCACGCACCUGGAGCCUGUGCUCUGCAACAAGAGAAGUCACCGCAAUGGGAAGCCCACCCAAUGCAAUGAAGAGCGGCCCCCACUCACCACGACUAGAGAAAGUACUCACCAAGCAGUGAAGA
Long non-coding RNA from Dama dama (fallow deer), 1500 nucleotides. RefSeq lists it as uncharacterized. The record is from RefSeq and is a predicted model, not a curated record. The transcript has 3 exons. NCBI's taxonomy places the organism in Eukaryota, Metazoa, Chordata, Mammalia, Artiodactyla, Cervidae.